This is a long non-coding RNA of Hemicordylus capensis (graceful crag lizard), 507 nucleotides long. RefSeq lists it as uncharacterized. The record is from RefSeq and is a predicted model, not a curated record. NCBI's taxonomy places the organism in Eukaryota, Metazoa, Chordata, Lepidosauria, Squamata, Cordylidae. The transcript is spliced from 3 exons.
CGUAUCUGAAGUUGAACGAGCAUAUUAGACAAAGGUCACCAAAUAACAACCACAAAAUUAACUGAGGAUUAGAAGCAAGACCUACGAAUGAUGCAGACUUAAUGAGCACAAGCAAUUCAUUUGAGCAGAGAGAAGGUUGAGACUUGAUUAGAUUAGACCAAGUUUGCCCUGAAAGGAGGAGGAGGAGGAAGAGGCAGAAGGAAGAAGCAACCUCGCUCUGUAUGGGAGGACAAGUGGCACAGUGGAACCAGAGAGGUACAACUUCCAAAUCCCCAGUAAGAAGCUUACUAGGUGACCUUGAGCCAGUCAUUGGACAUCUCAGCUUAAUCUACUUCACAGGUUGUUGGAAGAUAAAGUCAGGGCGGGGCAGAAGAACUGUGUACACAGCCCUGAGCUUCAUGGAUUUAAAAAGACUGCUCUAAAUGUGGUGUAAAUUAUGUUCACUUAUGUAUACUAUUUCUAUUUAAAUUUUAAUAAUAAUUUACAAAUUUACUUCUGCAUAUACAU